RNAcentral lists this long non-coding RNA (1545 nucleotides) under Vombatus ursinus (common wombat). RNAcentral's name for it is "lncRNA (ENSVURG00010004828.1)". The record is from RNAcentral. Lineage: Eukaryota; Metazoa; Chordata; Mammalia; Diprotodontia; Vombatidae.
AAUUUUUGAAUCUGUAUUUCUGUUGGACUGUAUUUGGUAUCAGAUAUAUCUUUCAUUUGGUUACUUCAGCUCCAACUACAACUACUCGUCAGACUACAACUACUCCUCUGACUACUACUACUCCUCUGACUACAACAACUCAUCUACCUACAACUACUCAGUUGGCUACAACUGCUCUUGCUGCUACAACUGCUCUUCCUGCUAUAACUACUCAUCUGGCUACAGCAACUUGUCCAACUACAAUAGCCACAACAGCUCUCCAAAUGACCACUUCAGCCAUGUCUAACCUAACAACUAUAAUGACACACCAAUCGACUACAGUCACUCUCGAAUCAACAACAGCAGUUCUUCCUCGGAAAUCAACUUCUAAUCAAGCGAUAACCCCGGCUCUGACCACUUUCCCAUUGACAGAAGUUGCUCCUGUGACUACAGACACCACAAGUUUUCCGAAAAAUGAUUCUGAACUCGAAGAGAUAAGAGCUUCCAGAGAUCCUGAACUACUGAUAAUUAUAGUCCCACUGGUGGGUUUUGUGAUCCUCCUGAUGCUGCUGGCUUUUAUUUUGAGAGGCACCCAGGUUUGUCCAUCUCGGAACUCCAAAGGAGCUGAACCAGGGACAUCAUUAGGAAAAGCUUCACCAGGCAUUACACACCAUCGUGGUAAAUCUGAUUGCUUGGACCUCGUAGGCUCAGAAGAUGUGGGUGUGGGCCAUACUGCCUUGGAUUUCACUGUUUCAUGAGUCUGCUCCAUGCUGCCAUCACAGCUGUCCUAUUUUCUCUCUGCUGAACAUCUAUUGCCAGCAUCAUAUCCCAUGAACCAUCCUGCCUUCCUUCCUUUUGUUUGUAUUAUUGGCUGGAAUGUCUUGUUCCACUUCCUUAGAAGAAUUCUUAAAAAGGAGAUACCAGUCCUUGACCCCCAAGCUUGGCUGGCUAUCAACUUCUUCAUUUGUAAAAUGACAGGUUCGACAAGAUUUCCUUUCAACUCUGCAGUGUUCUGAGCCUGAGAUCCUGGUCAUUUAGUGUCAGCAUUUCUGUUUGCUUAUUUGCGUGAUGGAAACAUUUUGAAUUACCAGUAACUUUUCUCCCUGUAAACUGGUCUGCCUCCUCUUUUCUCAUGGAGCAUAUUUUUUUUUUAACAGGAUUUCUUUCUUUUUUCCUUCUGGCUCAAAAUUUGAUAAUCCUGUGAUCUUCUAUAUCGGUGGCAUGCUUCUUUCUAGUUGUAUAGCUUAGAGCAAGUCUUCAUUUCUCUGGACCUCAAUUUCCUAUCUAUAAAAUGAAAGGGAUAGAGUAGAUAGUCUCCAAGUUCCCUUAACAUUUUAUGAUUCCUGUUUGGAAAUUGUCCUUAAACCCUGAAGCAUACUCUUGUGUAAUUUUACUGGUGGAAAUCCUUUUUCCUUUAAGGGCAAAUUUAAUUUUUGGAAAAAGUUCAAAUUCUAAGCUAAAUAUGGUGAAUGAGGUGGAUGAUCAAGCUGGGGAAUACCAUUUUUGUUAUAAUGUGAGGUAGGGGCAUACAAUAAAGAGCUUGAUUUUGUGGUGUGAUCUGUAAGC